AUUGAACGCUGGCGGCAUGCUUUACGCAUGCAAGUCGAACGGUAACAGGCCUUCGGGUGCUGACGAGUGGCGAACGGGUGAGUAAUGCAUCGGAACGUGCCCAGAGGUGGGGGAUAACGCAGCGAAAGCUGUGCUAAUACCGCAUGUGAUCUGAGUAUGAAAGCGGGGGACCAGGCAGCAAUGUUUGGCCUCGCGCCUUUGGAGCGGCCGAUGUCAGAUUAGGUAGUUGGUGGGGUAAAGGCCUACCAAGCCGACGAUCUGUAGCUGGUCUGAGAGGACGACCAGCCACACUGGGACUGAGACACGGCCCAGACUCCUACGGGAGGCAGCAGUGGGGAAUGUUGGACAAUGGGCGAAAGCCUGAUCCAGCAAUGCCGCGUGCGGGAAGAAGGCCUUCGGGUUGUAAACCGCUUUUGUACGGAACGAAAAGGCUCUGGCUAAUACCUGGGGCUGAUGACGGUACCGUAAGAAUAAGCACCGGCUAACUACGUG
This 492-nucleotide ribosomal RNA is filed under the name uncultured bacterium. RNAcentral's name for it is "partial 16S ribosomal RNA". It matches the Rfam family "Bacterial small subunit ribosomal RNA", at positions 30 to 507 of the family's 1533-position model. The record is from RNAcentral.